AACUGCUAUAUCACACUGGGGAUUGCUAUGCUCUGCAUAUUCCCCUGAGCUUUUAAUCACUUAGCUCUUUUAAGAGCUGUUCCUGUUAUGCUCUCCUGGAGGAGAGGUCUUCCCCACAUGGUCCUGGAGGACAGAAGCUGAUCCAGGGUGGAAGGAAGACGGCGAGACUCCAGUUAAGCUACGGCGGUUGUGGAGUCUGCGGUGGUUGUGGUGUCUGCUGCAGUGUUUGGAGUCCUCGGGAAGCGCUAGGAGCAUCCAUCAACGGAGGGUACUCGGUCGGAGUACAGGGAG
Pelobates cultripes (western spadefoot toad) is the source of this 291-nucleotide non-coding RNA. Lineage: Eukaryota; Metazoa; Chordata; Amphibia; Anura; Pelobatidae. The record is from the annotation of a GenBank genome assembly.